CCAGGCGGCUACUUAUGCGUUAGCUUGAGAGCCAGUGUUCAGACACAAACUCCGAGUAGACAUCGUUUACGGCGUGGACUACCAGGUAUCUAAUCCUGUUUGCUCCCCACGCUUUCGUGCAUGAGCGUCAGUCUUUGUCCAGGGGGCCGCCUUCGCCACCGGUAUUCCUCCAGAUCUCUACGCAUUUCACCGCUACACCUGGAAUUCUACCCCCCUCUACAAGACUCUAGUUCGCCAGUUCGAAAUGCGAUUCCUAGGUUGAGCCCAGGGGCUUUCACAUCUCGCUUAACAAACCGCUGCGCACGCUUUACGCCCAGUAAUUCCGAUUAACGCUCGGACCCUCCGUAUUACCGCGGCUGCUGGCACGGAGUUAGCCGGUCCUUCUUCUGUAGGUAACGUCACAGAUGAGCCGUAUUAAGACUCACCCUUUCCUCCCUACUGAAAGUGCUUUACAACCCGAAGGCUUCUUCACACACGCGGCAUGGCUGCAUCAGGGUUUCCCCAUUGUGCAAUAUUCCCCACUGAUGCCUUC
This 532-nucleotide ribosomal RNA is filed under the name Shewanella putrefaciens. RNAcentral describes it as "partial 16S ribosomal RNA". Lineage: Bacteria; Pseudomonadati; Pseudomonadota; Gammaproteobacteria; Alteromonadales; Shewanellaceae. The record is from RNAcentral.